CCUACGGGAGGCAGCAGUGGGGAAUAUUGGGCAAUGGACGCAAGUCUGACCCAGCAACGCCGCGUGAAGGAAGAAGGCUUUCGGGUUGUAAACUUCCUUUAAGGGGGAAGAGCAGAAGACGGUACCUCUUGAAUAAGCCACGGCUAACUACGUGCCAGCAGCGGCGGUCAUACGAAGGUGGCAAGUGUUGCACGGAAUUACUGGGUGUACAGGGCGUGUUGCCGGGGAGACAAGUCAGAUGGGAAAUCCACGGGCUCAACCCGGGAACAGCAGUUGAAACUGUUUCCCUUGAGUGUCGGAGAGGUAAGCGGAAUGCGUGGUGUAGCGGUGAAAUGCGUAGAUAUAAGGAAGAACACCAGUGGCGAAGGCAGAGUACUGGACGAUAACUGACGGUGAGGCGCGAAAGCGUGGGGAGCGAACAGGAUUAGAUACCCGGGUAGUC
RNAcentral lists this ribosomal RNA (442 nucleotides) under uncultured bacterium. RNAcentral's name for it is "partial 16S ribosomal RNA". It matches the Rfam family "Bacterial small subunit ribosomal RNA", at positions 338 to 795 of the family's 1533-position model. The record is from RNAcentral.